RNAcentral lists this ribosomal RNA (379 nucleotides) under Leegaardiella sp. RNAcentral describes it as "partial small subunit ribosomal RNA". It matches the Rfam family "Eukaryotic small subunit ribosomal RNA", at positions 587 to 975 of the family's 1831-position model. Lineage: Eukaryota; Ciliophora; Spirotrichea; Choreotrichida; Leegaardiellidae. RNAcentral also lists the same sequence under 1 other name. The record is from RNAcentral.
AGCUCCAAUAGCGUAUAUUAAAGUUGUUGCAGUUAAAAAGCUCGUAGUUGGAUUUCUGGCCGAGUGUCCCUAGGCCAGCAUGACGUUUGGUCCUAGGCGCUCUGCCAUCCUUCUGUCAACCUUCGCCUUCUUCAUUGGGGGCGCUGGGGCUCAGAUAUUUUACCUUGAGAAAAUUAGAGUGUUUCAGGCAGGCUUUCGCCGGAAUACAUUAGCAUGGAAUAAUGGAAAAGGACUUCAACCUCUUCUGUUGGUCUGAGAGGCUGUAGUAAUGAUUAAUAGGGAUAGUUGGGGGCAUUAGUACUUAACUGUCAGAGGUGAAAUUCUCCGAUUUGUUAAAGACUAACUUAUGCGAAAGCAUUUGCCAAGGAUGUUUUCAUUA